Molecule: unclassified non-coding RNA, 287 nt
Filed under: Hevea brasiliensis (rubber tree)
Lineage: Eukaryota; Viridiplantae; Streptophyta; Magnoliopsida; Malpighiales; Euphorbiaceae
Source: RNAcentral
GUCAAUAUUAUGCAAGAAGUCCACUUGGUGCGUGACAAGCAAAAUGGUUUUAUCUUUAAGAAUUCCCCUCACACAUUCCUUGAAGAUCUCAGAGCCAGUGUGAGCAUCAACUGCACUGAAGACAUCAUCAAGUAAAUAAAUAUCACAGUCCUGAUAAACAGCUCUUGCAAGCUGAAUUCGCUGUUUCUGGCCGCCACUGAGAUUGAUGCCACGCUCUCCUAUUUCAGUCUGGUCUCCAAACUCCAUCAUUUCCAAGUCCUUCUCCAAGCAACAAACCCGGAUUACUU